UACGGAGGAUGCAAGCGUUAUCCGGAUUUAUUGGGUUUAAAGGGUGCGCAGGUUGUUUGAUAAGUCAGUGGUGAAAGUCUGCCGCUUAACGGUAGGAUUGCCAUUGAUACUGUUGGACUUGAAUAUGGAUGAGGUAGGCGGAAUGUGUAGUGUAGCGGUGAAAUGCUUAGAUAUUACACAGAACACCGAUUGCGAAGGCAGCUUACUAAUCCAUGAUUGACGCUGUGGCACGAAAGCGUGGGGAUCAAACAGGA
RNAcentral lists this ribosomal RNA (254 nucleotides) under uncultured prokaryote. Its description in RNAcentral is "partial 16S ribosomal RNA". It matches the Rfam family "Bacterial small subunit ribosomal RNA", at positions 524 to 777 of the family's 1533-position model. The record is from RNAcentral.